AUUAUGUGUUUCAUUUGUGAAAAAAUGAAAAAGAAAAAUCAUUUAUGGUCUAGACUCUCUCAACCGAUCUCCUCUCUCUCUCUCUCCCUAAUUCAAGCUGUUCAUUUUGAGUUUUGAAGAAAAAAUCGAAGGAAUUUUAUGGCUUUGGUGUUAGAACUUUGAGGUAAAGGUAAGGCUAAGAAGUGAGAUUGAAGAGCUCGAGGCGCGAACUGCAUGUUAGGGGGCUGGUGCAGUAUUUUACUUUUAAUGUUUCUAAAUGUUAAACAUUGUGGAUCCGUUAUUUUGAUUUAACUAGUUCUUAUAUAAGUUUACAGUACUAAAAAUAUUUUUAUUUUAAACAGUGAGAUCUCAUGCUUAGAUAUUUUUCAAUAAAGAAGUAUUUUAUUGUCUUUAUCUUAUCAAAUUGUUUUAUAUGGACUAUCCUGUGUGAUAUCUCGGAAAAUUGGAGUGUUAUAAUAUGGUAUCAGAGCAACACGGUCCUGAAGAAUGUGGUUAGCCCUAAUAUGUAAAGUUCACCGCCAUGAGAUGAGCUCGACUCACUGUACUGAGUUUAGAAAUGCCUCCUAGAAGGUCAGUCAAAUUGGGUCAAGGUCGAGGUUGAGGUCGAGGUCGGGGCCAAGGCCAUGACCGAGAUACAGGCCAAGAUUAUGGAGGGAUCAAUGAACCACCUCAAGCACCAUAAGGAUGGGAAGAGCGCCUUCCCACACUAGAAGGAACCAUUCGAAGGCAAAAUGAAGAACUUUGUCAACUGAGACAUCAAUUGGAGUUGUCAGUUCAAAUAAGGCCGACAGAGCCAGAAAAUAGAGACCCACCAGUUGUGGUGGUAUAUCCUGCUACAGAAGCUAGACAUGAGAUGUUAGCAGAGAGAUUUCGAAAACAACACCCACCUGAGUUUGAGGGACGCAUACACCCAGUGGUGGCUGAAGAGUAGAUGAGUCGCAUAGAAAGCAUUUUGCAGAUGAUGAGGGUCGAUGGGAAUGACCGAGUGAAGUGUGUAUCAUACAUGCUGAGGAAAGAUGCUCGUAUCUGGUGAGAGGUGGUGGAGCAAACAAAGGAUGUGGAUACCAUGAAGUAGGAUGAUUUCAAAAGGGUUUUUAUUGAGAAAUAUUAUAACUCAGCAGUUCUAGUAGCAAAGGUCGAUGAAUUUACUGGAUUAGCCUAAGGGAGCCUUACUGUUACAGAGUAUGCACCAAAAUUUGAUAGACUGGCGAAAUUCGCUCCAAAUCUGGUACCUACUAAUAGAGUACGUGCACAUCGAUUUGUGGAAGGCCUGAAACCAAUGAUUGCUUGAGAUGUGGAAAUUUUGUCAAGGGGUCAAUUUGGUUAUGCUCAAGUUGUCAAAAUGGCUCUUACGGCUGAGUGGAGUGAAAAUAAAAUUUGGAAGGAAAAUGCUGCCAUGAGAGAAUCUAAGAAAGGUGGAGCCAAUUCUAAUGAACACAAGAAAAGGGGACAAGGUCAGUCCGGGCAGUCAAGUCAAGACAAGAGGUACAAAACUGAUAACAACCAACGAUCUAAUGGCAACAGUGGGUGAAACAUUCCAGAAUUCCCUAAAUGUACCACACGUCAUCUCGGCGAGUGUCGCGCAAAAGCAUGCUACAAAUGUGGAAAGGAAGGACACAUCAAACGCAAUUUCCCAAUGUGGGGACAGACUGGGAACAAAGCAGAACCCAAGAAAGAUGACAAGUAUUUUCCAGCCAGAGUUUUCGCCAUCACUCAAGCAGAAGCUGAGGCCAGUCCUUCGGUUGUAUCAGGAAAGGGUAAGGCUAAGCAGUGAGACUAAAGAGCUCGAGGCGUGGACUGCAUGUUAAGGGGCUGGCACAGUAUUUCUUUUAAAGUUUUUAAAUGUUAAACAUUGUGGAUCCGUUAUUUUGAUUUAACUAGUUCUUAUUUAAGUUUACAGUACUAAAAAUAUUUUUGUUUUAAACAGUGAGAUCUCAUGCUUAGAUAUUUUUCAAUAAAGAAGUAUUUUAUUAUCUU
This is a long non-coding RNA of Cannabis sativa, 1977 nucleotides long. RefSeq lists it as uncharacterized. The record is from RefSeq and is a predicted model, not a curated record. Lineage: Eukaryota; Viridiplantae; Streptophyta; Magnoliopsida; Rosales; Cannabaceae. The transcript has 4 exons.